GCUCCAGGCAUUGACAGACACACCAAUAGACAAAGCAUGGAUACUUGCAGGUUGUGUUGACCAAAUGUCAGAUGGGGUCUGCAGUGAGCCAGCAAGCAAAUGAGGUUAUAGAGCCAAGUAAGCCAACCUCCUCUCCAGCAGAGAUUCCGGUUGGUGAAACUUCCUCCCCCUCUUCAUUCAUACCCCCUGCCAUAAUUGUCACUGCCCCAUCCAAAGAGGACCUCUAUGCUCAGCCACCCACCAAAACAAUAGAGGAGGCAAACAAGGAGCCACGACCUAGAAGGCAACCAAUCUGUGUUGGUAGAGCCAUCACUAACAAGGCAUAACGAUUUUGGAAAAAGUAAGGUCACAUAAAUACUACAGGCCUGCCAUCCCCUUGAGCCAAUGAUUCCCUAUUCAUCUGUGCUAUAUGAGUGCUAGAUGUACCAAUUGCAGUAAUCCAUUAUAAGAAGUGGUAAUAGAUAUGUACAGAUUUGAGGAACAAAGUCAUUUCUGGUGCUUUUUGGAUGCAUUACAUAUAUUUGUUGAAAAAGUGGGGAUAUUAUUGUACUAUUUAAUUUAUAUGAGGAAUGAUUCAAGUAGAUAUCGUCAUAUUUGUGGGGGAAAAAAAGCAAUUUCUAAAUAAACAAAGUAAUUUAAUUUCUGAGGGGAAGCGGAUCUCACCAUCUUGAACCCCGGGAAAGCUUGUAGUCGUCCAUUUAAUAGACAAAGCACCGAGUGUGUGGUUUCCUGCCAUUCAUACUGUUUUGAAUGUUUCUGGACGUAUAUUCGCGUACUGGUCACAUUUUCUGUCAUCACAGUACAGCAAAGGGCGAAUGAACCAUCAUCUUGGGCGUCCAAAUAACAAUGGAGAACGCUGCAGAUACUGACCCGGACCCCAUAAAGCUGAAGUCGAUCAAGAACAACAGAACGUUCACAGUACCGCAAAAACACAGGUUUGGGAACUGUAGGAGUGUGAAAGAAUUUGAGAAACUGAACCGAAUCGGCGAGGGAACAUAUGGAAUUGUGUACAGAGCUCGAGACACCAGGUCUGAUGAUAUUGUAGCACUGAAGAAGGUCCGGAUGGACAAGGAAAAGGAUGGGAUCCCUAUCAGUAGUCUGAGAGAGAUCACCCUGUUGCUCAAACUCAGACACCCCAACAUAGUGGAGUUAAAGGAGGUGGUGGUGGGAAGUCACCUGGAGAGUCUCUUCCUAGUUAUGAGUUACUGUGAGCAGGACCUGGCCAGUCUGCUGGAAAACAUGCCAACACCUUUCUCAGAGGCACAGGUGAAGUGUAUAGCUCUGCAGCUGCUGAGAGGUCUGGAUUAUCUUCACCUCAACUUUAUUCUGCACAGGGAUCUGAAGGUGUCCAAUCUGCUGAUGACAGACAAAGGCUGUGUAAAGAUUGCUGACUUUGGCUUGGCACGUUGCUACGGUAUCCCCCUACAGCCUAUGACGCCCCGGGUGGUGACAUUGUGGUAUAGAGCACCAGAGCUCCUCCUAGGGACCAAGACUCAGACCACAGCCUUAGACAUGUGGGCGGUGGGCUGCAUCCUGGCUGAGCUGCUUGCACAUAAACCUCUGCUGCCAGGGGGUUCUGAGAUCCAACAGGUGGACCUCAUAGUGCAACUGUUGGGUACCCCUAAUGAAAACAUCUGGCCGACAGAAGAAUGCACGAUCAAGAAGGGAUACAUAGAGAGCAGUUGCUUCGCGAGGGCUUCACUCGUCUUCCCCUAGUUGGACAGUACAGUUUGAGGAAACAACCAUACAACAAUUUGAAGAAUAAGUUCACCUGGUUGUCUGAUGCAGGGCUGCGUUUACUCAACCUUCUCUUCAUGUACAAUCCUCUACGCAGGGCCACAGCUAAGGACUGCUUGGAGAGUUCCUACUUUAAGGAGAAACCUUUGCCUUGUGAGGCUGACUUGAUGCCAACCUUCCCUCAUCAUCGCAAUAAAAGGGCAGCCCCAGCUGUAGAGAGCCAAUCAAAACGCAAUAAAGUGUAACUUCAUUAACAUCCUUGAUCGCAGUUUAAAUAAAUGAAUGAAUAUCUUAAUGUUUACUACUACACAGAUUAUGCACCUGGUUGUAAAAAUGUGUUGUCAUAGAAUGCAUGUACCUAGCAGUAAUUAUCCAAAUCAAUGGGGUGAUGGUAGUAUUCAAGCUUUCAAGUAUUCCACAGUUCAGUCCUCAGUUACUGCUUACAAAAUCCUAUUUCUUUCACUGUGUGUCUGAUGAAUAUCCAAAAGUAUGUGAUUAACAUGCAUAAGUUAAAUUUAAUUCACCAAUGUUGCUUUGUUUUUUGAAUGGAUGUUGGUUAACCUUUGGCAGGUUCAAGUAACCAAUAGGAUUUGGUUUGCUGUAUUCAUGUACAUAGACAUUUUUUAUCCCAUGAAAUUCAAUGAAUAUUGUAGUUUUAGUUUUUAAUAAACUGCUUUUUCAAAUUAA
RNA transcript from Oncorhynchus kisutch (coho salmon), 2424 nucleotides. It is a transcript of the gene named cyclin dependent kinase 10, with no coding region annotated. The transcript is spliced from 15 exons. Lineage: Eukaryota; Metazoa; Chordata; Actinopteri; Salmoniformes; Salmonidae. The record is from RefSeq and is a predicted model, not a curated record.